Molecule: ribosomal RNA, 440 nt
Filed under: uncultured bacterium
Lineage: Bacteria
Description: partial 16S ribosomal RNA
Rfam family: Bacterial small subunit ribosomal RNA
Source: RNAcentral
CCUACGGGAGGCAGCAGUAGGGAAUAUUGCACAAUGGGCGAAACCCUGAUGCAGCGACGCCGCGUGAGUGAAGAAGUACUUCGUUAUGUAAAGCUCUAUCAGCAGGGAAGAAAAUGACGGUAACUGAGUAAUAAGCCCCGGCUAACUACGUGCCAGCAGCCGCUGUAAUACGUAGGGGGCAAGCGUUAUCCGGAUUUACUGGGUGAAAAGGGAGCGUAGACGGCAGUGCAAGUAUGGAGUGAAAGGCGGGGGGUCAACCCCCGGACUGCUCUGGAUACUGUACGGCUGGAGUGCAGGAGAGGUAAGUGGAAUUCCUGGUGUAGCGGUGAAAUGCGUAGAUAUAAGGAGGAACACCAGUGGCGAAGGCGGCUUACUGGACUGUAACUGACGUUGAGGCUCGAAAGCGUGGGGAGCAAACAGGAUUAGAUACCCGUGUAGUC